RNAcentral lists this ribosomal RNA (446 nucleotides) under uncultured bacterium. RNAcentral describes it as "bacterial SSU rRNA". It matches the Rfam family "Bacterial small subunit ribosomal RNA", at positions 34 to 472 of the family's 1533-position model. The record is from RNAcentral.
GAAUUCACUAGUGAUUCAGGCCUAACACAUGCAAGUCGAGCGGUAGAGAGAAGCUUGCUUCUCUUGAGAGCGGCGGACGGGUGAGUAAUGCCUAGGAAUCUGCCUGGUAGUGGGGGAUAACGUUCGGAAACGGACGCUAAUACCGCAUACGUCCUACGGGAGAAAGCAGGGGACCUUCGGGCCUUGCGCUAUCAGAUGAGCCUAGGUCGGAUUAGCUAGUUGGUGAGGUAAUGGCUCACCAAGGCUACGAUCCGUAACUGGUCUGAGAGGAUGAUCAGUCACACUGGAACUGAGACACGGUCCAGACUCCUACGGGAGGCAGCAGUGGGGAAUAUUGGACAAUGGGCGAAAGCCUGAUCCAGCCAUGCCGCGUGUGUGAAGAAGGUCUUCGGAUUGAAAGCACAAUGAGUUGGGAGGAAGGGCAUAACCUAAUACGUUAGGUUUGA